Molecule: ribosomal RNA, 253 nt
Filed under: uncultured bacterium
Lineage: Bacteria
Description: partial 16S ribosomal RNA
Rfam family: Bacterial small subunit ribosomal RNA
Source: RNAcentral
UACAGAGGGUGCGGGCGUUAAUCGGAAUUACUGGGCGUAAAGCGUGCGUAGACGGUUGCGUAAGUCGGAUGUGAAAUCCCCGGGCUCAACCUGGGAAUUGCAUUCGAGACUGCGUAGCUGGGGUGCGGAAGAGGGAAGCGGAAUUUCCGGUGUAGCGGUGAAAUGCGUAGAUAUCGGAAGGAACAUCAGUGGCGAAAGCGGCUUCCUGGUCCAGCACCGACGUUCAGGCACGAAAGCGUGGGGAGCAAACAGG